AGAAUUUUAAGUUAAAAAAACUAGAAGUUUUCAAGGCUUUCAUUAUUCAGUUUUGUUUAAAUUCUG
RNAcentral lists this transfer RNA (66 nucleotides) under Cirroteuthis muelleri. RNAcentral's name for it is "tRNA-Trp". Lineage: Eukaryota; Metazoa; Mollusca; Cephalopoda; Octopoda; Cirroteuthidae. The record is from RNAcentral.